AACUUUCAACAACGGAUCUCUUGGUUCUGGCAUCGAUGAAGGACGCAGCAAAAUGCGAUAAGUAAUGUGAAUUGCAGAAUUCAGUGAAUCAUCGAAUCUUUGAACGCACAUUGCGCCCGCCAGUAUUCUGGCGGGCAUGCCUGUUCGAGCGUCAUUU
RNAcentral lists this ribosomal RNA (157 nucleotides) under Fusarium equiseti. RNAcentral describes it as "5.8S ribosomal RNA". It matches the Rfam family "5.8S ribosomal RNA". Rfam says of the family: 5.8S ribosomal RNA (5.8S rRNA) is a component of the large subunit of the eukaryotic ribosome. It is transcribed by RNA polymerase I as part of the 45S precursor that also contains 18S and 28S rRNA. Functionally, it is thought that 5.8S rRNA may be involved in ribosome translocation. Lineage: Eukaryota; Fungi; Ascomycota; Sordariomycetes; Hypocreales; Nectriaceae. The record is from RNAcentral.